AUUGAACGCUGGCGGCAGGCUUAACACAUGCAAGUCGAGCGGGGAAAGGUAGCUUGCUACCUGACCUAGCGGCGGACGGGUGAGUAAUGCUUAGGAAUCUGCCUAUUAGUGGGGGACAACAUCUCGAAAGGGAUGCUAAUACCGCAUACGUCCUACGGGAGAAAGCAGGGGACCUUCGGGCCUUGCGCUAAUAGAUGAGCCUAAGUCGGAUUAGCUAGUUGGUGGGGUAAAGGCCUACCAAGGCGACGAUCUGUAGCGGGUCUGAGAGGAUGAUCCGCCACACUGGGACUGGGACACGGCCCAGACUCCUACGGGAGGCAGCAGUGGGGAAUAUUGGACAAUGGGGGGAACCCUGAACCAGCCAUGCCGCGUGUGUGAAGAAGGCCUUUUGGUUGUAAAGCACUUUAAGCGAGGAGGAGGCUACCGAGAUUAAUACUCUUGGAUAGUGGACGUUACUCACAGAAUAAGCACCGGCUAACUCUGUG
Molecule: ribosomal RNA, 485 nt
Filed under: uncultured bacterium
Lineage: Bacteria
Description: partial 16S ribosomal RNA
Rfam family: Bacterial small subunit ribosomal RNA
Source: RNAcentral